This 254-nucleotide ribosomal RNA is filed under the name uncultured bacterium. RNAcentral describes it as "partial 16S ribosomal RNA". It matches the Rfam family "Bacterial small subunit ribosomal RNA", at positions 524 to 776 of the family's 1533-position model. The record is from RNAcentral.
GACAGAGGAUGCAAGCGUUAUCCGGAAUGAUUGGGCGUAAAGCGUCUGUAGGUGGCUUUUAAGUCCGCCGUCAAAUCCCAGGGCUCAACCCUGGACAGGCGGUGGAAACUACCAAGCUGGAGUACGGUAGGGGCAGAGGGAAUUUCCGGGUGGAGCGGUGAAAUGCGUAGGGAUCGGAAAGAACACCAACGGCGAAAGCGACUCUGCUGGGCCGACACUGACACUGAGAGACGAAAGCUAGGGGAGCGAAUGGG